UAUAUAUAUAAUCAUGUUUGUGUCCCUCACGUUCGUCCACGUCACUAAGUCGUGCUUCCUGGUGUUGACACCUGUCCAGUCUGCCAAAACGCAGCGCUUCAUUUAUUGUGUUAUGCGGCCCGACGGCCCAUGAAUGAAAACCCCAAAUCUGAUUAAGCAAAAAAAAAUUAGAGUUGGACUCUCCUGUUACUUCAGCGGCAGCGACUCCUGAGGUUCUCCGAAAUCUCUGUAACAGUGGGAGUUAUGAGCUAUGCCGGAGCUUCGCCAUGGAGUCCGUCGUGGCUCUGAUCGUCUUACAGACAAGAAACAGAGGACCACGACAAAAGGGUUGCUAGCGAUUAGUAAAAAUAGUGGUGGCUCCAACAAGGCGGCUGCACAUGAAGAAGAAGGAAAUACUCCUCCUUUCCCUAAAAGGGUCUAAUUUGGAGAAUUACUGAUGUGUAAAGGUUGAGAAAGCUGAGAAAAGGUGGUUUUGGACAAGUGUUUGUGGGACGUGUAUUAGUGGUGGUAAUGAACAUAAUACAUGAGCUAGCAUCUUAGAGUAAGUUGCUCUGAAGUUUGAGCAUCGAACCGGCACGGGGUUGAAGAAGACGUGUUCACCCUGAGCGGGAAAAUUCCAUCUCGCCGACCACAAAAGAGGACACUGACCUUCCAGAAACAUCUCGAUGCAAGUCACCAGAUGUUCGAGGAGUUGCCUUGCACACAAUUUUACAAAGAAAUAUAUCGUCUUAGUCUCCCACCUGGGAUGUCUGCGGUUUGUAGAUGGUGCUGCAGCAAACAUCUAAAUAACUCAUUUUAUAAGUUAGUUCAAAGCUUCUCAUAUCACUACUUAUUCUUCUCAGUUUUUUUUUUUAAAUCAACAUUUAUUUGUUCCCGAGGGUUUCUUUUUUUUUUUUACUUAUGAAAAACUUACAUUAUAACUUAUCUUAUAAAGCGGUAGAUGCAAUCGAUCCUCUUAAAUUUUUUGAAUAUAUCUUCAGCUGUAACCUCUUUGGUUGUGUGGAAGAAAGCAUUGGUUCGUUUAUGUAUAUACAAACGUUAAUGGUCACACCUCCUAUAUAUCCUAAUAAGUCAUUUAGAUUUUUUUCUGCAAUUGCUUAUGUUCCUGAUUUAGGCUCUAAUACUAUCUAAAGUAAGGUAUGCUUUUCAAGAAAUAUAUGACUUUUGCUUUGUCAACUACACAACUUUCGUUGGUCUUACCCACACUCAUUUCAAUAUUAUAUUUCUUCCUUGCAUAUGCUAUUAAACAGGUUAAUAUGAAUCUUAGUUUUGGUCUCAGGCUUAAAAUCAGAGUAGUAAUGUUUUCUAUCUCAGUUUCGAGAAACAAAGGUUGUUUUCAAGGUGGAGAUGUCAAACUGAGACGCUCUCCUAGAUGGUUAACUGAAACAUAGCGAUGCUCUGAUGGCAUAGCGAACAGCCACAAAAGCAGUGGUUCGGAUUUAGGAAGCAUUUAGAGAUAAUGCAAUGAAGUCGGCACACUCAAAGGUCAUCCAUUUAGAGAUAAUGCAAUGAAGUCGGCACACUCAAAGGUCAUCCAUUUAGAGAUAACGCAAUGAAGUCGGCACACUCAAUGCAAUGAAGAACAGGCACACUCAAGUUUGCAACCCAUGAGUGUUUGUGAAAGACUGUUUAUUUACUUUUCUUUUGUACUAUGUUUUUACGGGGUUAAAAAUAAGAAAAUAGUACUAGAAGACUAUAUGGUCGACAUGAUUGUUGGAGAAGACAAUAAUCAGAUGGAGAGGAAAGAUAAAAUUGUUUAGAAGACUCCAGUUGAGCAAAGCUAAAGCUGAAGAAAGCCGCCGUGGUCAAGCAAAUGAAGUUUUCUCCAGCGCAAGAUUUCUAUCACAUUUUUCAUUUUUUAUUAAAUUUUGUUGCAUUAAUUUGGAAAUAAAAAGCAAAUCAACACGAGUCCUAACUCACAGGAUUCCUAUAAUUAUCAAUCAAAAAAAAAAAAAAGGAUACUAUAGUGAAUACAAAAAUCUCAUGGUAUUAAAAAAUAAAAUUAAUAAUAGUAAUAAUCCCAUAGUACUAUGAACAAUUAAAAUAUUGUAGCUAUUUUUUGCCACACCUUGAUAUCAAAGGGUCAAUCCAAAAUAAAUAAAGGGAUGUGUAAUUGAAGAAACAUUUAACCAUGGACGUCAGACUUUAAAUAAAUUUUCGAUAUAUAAACAGAAAAUAAGUUCUCACAUCUAUACAACAAAAUUAUACUUUAAUAAAAUAUGCUCUACAAAAUACUAUAUAAAACAUGAAAGCAGAGAAAUAGAUAUUAAAUAACUAACAAAAUUAAGAAAGGAAUUAAUGUUUCUCAUUUGAAAUAAAUAUUUAUUAGUGUUUGAAUUCGGAUAAAUGUUACGCUCAGUUUCUCCAUUUAAAAUAAUACAAUUGUUUUUUUUUGUUGCUAACAUUUGGAUUUGUUAUUUGUACAUUUUUGCCUUAUCAUAAACAUAUUAAUAAAUUAGUUCAGAAUAUAUAAAAUUAGUUCAGAACAAAGUGGAUAAAAGCUAGCGAAUCAGUCUAUCCUACGAAUGUGUUAGGAAGCAUCGUAUUAAUGAAAUCUCUAUUAAAAGUUCUUUUCAACAACGUGUUUGAUGUAUCUUAUGUUUCAUGUAAUCUGUUACAUUGAUUUGAUAUCAAUAAAGUUAAAGAUGAUAAAAAAAAAAACUAGAAACAUCAAAUAAAAGUUACAAAGAAAGACUAAGAAAUUUAUUACUCUUUUAGUAAACAAUUCAAAAUUCAACAUGGUUAAUUAGGUUACAAUACAUUCAGUAACCAUAAUUACUCAUUAUAAUUUAGAAAAUACCCAAGGAUAGCACUAAAAAAUUUUGGUCAUAAAAAUAGACUCUAAGAAUCAAAAUAACCAAAAUGUUUUAUUAAAGAGGUAAAUAUACAUUUUUACCCCUAGGAUUAACUAAUCCAAACCUUAGGGUUUAGAAUUAAGGGUUGGAGAUUUGAGAUUGAGGUUUAAAAAUAAAAAUUUGAAAAUAAAAAUUUUAAAAAUAGUUUCAAAAAGUAUUUUCGAAUUACAAAAACAAAAUUUGAAAAAAAAAUUAAAAACAAAUUCGAAAAAAUAUUUCAAAAAAAAAAUUAUAGAAAAGUUUGAAUUUGAAAACAUAUAAUCUAAAACUAUAAAAAAAAUAUUUUUUUUAUUUUCUUUAUAUUUUUAUUUAUUAUUUAUCUGGGGUAUUAAGGUCUUUUUACUUAUUAAAUGAAACAUUUUGGUCACUUUCCUCCUUGUGAUCUAUUUUUGUGACCAAAACUUGAAAAUGAUCUAUUUAUGAUAAUUGCCAUUAUAAUUUCACCAUAACAUAAAGCAAAAAUAAAUUUUCAAAUAUAACAUAAAUACAAAAAAAACAACAACAAUUGUUAAUAAUGGUAAUUACUAGCAUUGUCCUAAACAACUACAAAAUGUCUUCAAAAAUAAAAAUUCAUUCUCCAUUGUAUUAAAUACACUAACAAAAAAAAAACUGGUAUUUAAAAAUUCAAUCUCAUUCUCUUAACAUAAUCACACUCACAACUUGAGGUUGGCACAAAUCAAAUAUCCAGGUUUGUGGAGGUAUUCAUCAUCCGAUCUGUUUUGGCCAAAUAAUCAAUUAUCCAAUAUGAUUCGAUCCACCGUCAUCUGGAUAUUCGAUGUUCCGGAUAUCCAAAACAUUUUAAAUUUUUGACCGGAUAUCUGAUUCGAUCUGUAAAAUAAAUAAAAUAUAAAGUAAAUAAAAAUAAAAAAUAAUAUAAAAUAAUAAUAUUUUAUUAAAAUAGAAGUUUGUUUACUUUUAAAAAAUUAUAAUAAUUAAUAUAAUAAAUAUAUUAAAUAAAAUUACUGAAAAUUAUAUAAAAUACAAUAUUUAUACAACUUCUAUAUAUACUUCUUUAAAUAUAUGAAUAUAUAUGCAUAUAACGGAUCAGAUCAGAUAUCCGUUCCUAAAAAUAUUAGUAUUUGUGAUUUGAUUCGUUUCUUACGGAUAUUACAUAUUAUUAUUUUCUUUGCUUCGUAGAGUUACGGAUAUCCAGAUUUUUCGGUUCGAAUCGAAACAUAUAAGAAAUCGAAUCAAAAUUUACGGAUAUUUUUCUUAGCUCUACUCAAAACCAAAUGAACAUAGAAAAGAAAAUUGAGUAAAAUUUAUACAAAAUUAUAUAUUUCAUAAAAACAUAUAUAUCAAAUCCUGCGCGUAGCGCGGACCCGACCUAGUAUCUAUUAUUAUAAAGAAGAGUUUAAUCACUCCUCAUGCCUCCACGUCACCCGCCAGCUAGAUAAGUCGAUGGCUGUGCGCAUGACAUCUGUCCAACUAAUAAAACACUCCGUUUCUUUUUUUUCGUGCAGUCUGUUGGGCCUGUCUUAUUGGCAUGUCUUAUUAGUUUAUAUCUGAUCUAUUCUAAACGCUACUUUUUUAAUUAUGUUUUCUGUGCUCUUCUUCUCCGCAGUAGGCAACGUUUAGGGCUUCCAUGGAAACUGAUUCUUCUUCCUCCUGAUCCACCAGUCAAUCGGAGCCGUAGUGAAUCUAGAGUUUCCAGCGAACUAUUCAUCUUCUUCAUACUGAUCAAGUAAUCAAUCAAUUACAGAAUCAUUGCUAUUAAAUUCUCUCUAGAUUCUCCUGCGUCGAUAUGCUCCUGCUUGAUUCGAUUGCAAAUCUUAUGCCAGCCACCGUUGCUGCUAGCCGUGUUCCGACCUUUGGUCCCCAUCUCACGGCGGGGUCGAUGUAUUCCACAACCGGUUUCGAUGUGGCUCGGUGUAAUCCAAACUUCAGGCUGUCAGACUCCUCUUUGUUUGUUCGGUUCAGUGAUGUAACCUCCUUGAAUGUGUUGACUGAGCCGACUUCUCCACUACAUGAAGAGUGUUUCCGGAUUCGUAUUCAAAGCGAGAUGCUUGCUCUAGCACACACCAUCUCUCAACUCCUGGGUAAUCAUUUUUUGAUUGUCAUCAUACUAACUGGAAAUUAAAUUUAAAUUUCCAUUUUUUCAGACAUCAUUGGGGAGAUCACAGCAGUUAUCUUACGUUACGGUUCGAUGCACGUGAAGUCAUGUGAUUGGGUUGAGCCUGAUCCAUCAGAGCUAGACAAUCCAUUACAAGCAAGACCCGCAAAGCUGGUCAAGGAUACUGACAUGACGGCUCCUUGCCCAGCAACCACACUGUAUCCAACAACCGGUGGCAACAUCCAUUGUUUCGAAGUCAUUACUCACUGUGCAAUCUUGGGUAUCUUAUCUCCUCCGUACUCUCCUACUCAUGGAAGACACUGAAACUACUUCCGGAAAUCCCCAAUCUGUGACUUGCCUGGUGAGAUUGAAUUGAUGAAUGGAGACAUUCACCUUUCAAGUUAAUGUUAGUGCAUACAACUUCACUGCAAAUCAUCAGACUUUCACAAUCAAUGGAUUCUUAACGGAAGUGAUCGUUCACCGUUCCCUGAUUUCGUUGAUACAGUAGACAACAUGAACAAGAGGGAGGACAUACCAGUUGACAGAACGGUUCUUACUAAGGUUGAAACUGGAGGUGGCAGUCAGCAGACAGCACCAGAUGGUGGAGAACCACAGAGGCCUUCAGCUAGAGCAGCUUGGAAGAUGGUACAGAAGGAGCGUCUAGCUUAGUGCUUUGUCACCAGAUUUUCUUUAGCAUCAAUGUUGGCGGUUUUAAUAUUAAGGAUGUGGUGUUUGCAUCUGUUUAAUUUUUAAACUUUCUAAACAAUCUGUAUUUUCUGAAUUUUCUAUAAAAAUAUAUUUGGUUUUACGAAAAACAAA
This is an RNA transcript of Brassica rapa (field mustard), 5727 nucleotides long. RefSeq lists it as uncharacterized. NCBI's taxonomy places the organism in Eukaryota, Viridiplantae, Streptophyta, Magnoliopsida, Brassicales, Brassicaceae. The record is from RefSeq and is a predicted model, not a curated record.